AAAAUGCGAUAAGUGACAUGAAUUGCAGAAUCCUGUGAAUCGUCGAAAUUUCGAACGCACUGCGCUUGGGGGAAACCUCAGGCACGUCUGACCGAGUGACGUCAAUAUCACUUGCAAAACCUAACCAAAAGGAUCAUAUGGGGGGAAAUAUUUCUCUCGGGCCUUUUUUAACCAGGUGGAGCAGAAUUUGCAGGUCCUGUGGUUGUUUUAAACCACUCCUGUAUAAAAUAUUACCGCAUUCUCCCAUUGUGUUAAUGGGGCAACGUUAUGGGGUUUCUGCCGCGAAUAUUACGUUUUU
Molecule: unclassified non-coding RNA, 298 nt
Filed under: uncultured fungus
Lineage: Eukaryota; Fungi
Description: sequence contains ITS1
Rfam family: 5.8S ribosomal RNA (bases 1-101)
Source: RNAcentral